GCAGGGUGUGGUGGUGCACGCCUGUAAUCCCAGCGGCCCAGGAGGCUGAGACAGGAGGAUUGUGAGUUCAAAGCUUCAGCAAAAGUGAGGUGCUAAGCAACUCAGUGAGACCCUGUCUGUA
This 121-nucleotide small RNA is filed under the name Marmota monax (woodchuck). The record is from RNAcentral. Lineage: Eukaryota; Metazoa; Chordata; Mammalia; Rodentia; Sciuridae.